Molecule: long non-coding RNA, 663 nt
Filed under: Cyanistes caeruleus (blue tit)
Lineage: Eukaryota; Metazoa; Chordata; Aves; Passeriformes; Paridae
Description: lncRNA (ENSCCEG00000015082.1)
Source: RNAcentral
CCCUAGGAUGCUAGAACCACUCUUUUCACUUGCUUUAAGCUAUGGUGGAACACCAUGAGAUAAAACAGGCCCUAGCCCAGGGUAUAAUUAGUCGUGUCCGGCACAUCCUCCUGGGCAGGGAGAUAAACUGCAGCCUCUGCCAGCUGGGGCAGUGCCAGUACCAUGAAUUAGCACAGCAUGCUCCAGAAGCUUCUCUUUCUGCACCAGCAUAGCCCAGCGUAUUCCCAAAAGGGCACAGGAGGUGAGUAAGCAAGUGGUGAAAGUACAGCAAUUGUGAGCCACACAGGCAUUUUCCUGGAAAAGCAUCCUCUCCAAGCCUCUUCUGAGAUGUGUUAUUAAAGUAUUCUCUACUGAAAGCUAGGAGGUUGUGCUUCGGUCACACUUCUAAGUUGUUAUGUAAAGGGAUUCUCUUCUUAACUUAGGAAAAGAAACGUACAUGACUUAAACUAAGACUCUGCUUGGAGGAGAAAUUCUUCCUCUCCUUUCUCUUCCUUACUUUCAUCUCUUGCAUAACUGCACACAACUUAAAGCAGUUGUUGGCUGAACACAAAAAUGUGUCUCUACAUGAGCAAGGAAUAAUGGGGACUAGAAAACAAGGUAUUCACAUCUCUAAUUUGAGUCAAAACAAUUCUAGCUAUUGAAAACAAAAAAGUAGUGAAAAAA